This 32-nucleotide small RNA is filed under the name Bombyx mori (domestic silkworm). RNAcentral's name for it is "ovarian small RNA-4319". Lineage: Eukaryota; Metazoa; Arthropoda; Insecta; Lepidoptera; Bombycidae. The record is from RNAcentral.
AAUCAGCCAGUGAAGGGCGUGGAGAGCCCGGA